Molecule: long non-coding RNA, 1622 nt
Organism: Haliotis rubra (blacklip abalone)
Lineage: Eukaryota; Metazoa; Mollusca; Gastropoda; Lepetellida; Haliotidae
Exons: 2
Source: RefSeq, a predicted model, not a curated record
AUGAUGCAGCAGAAGAUCCAUCAAGUAUUGAGAUGGGGAUUGCAGGAGAUACUAUUCAGAUCAGCUCUUCAAUAGGAAAUGGGAAGAGACCUUGUAAGUUCUAAAAUCGGAGGAAGAUAGAAAGUUGCACAGGACCCUAAUGGCUUCCUCAUUGCUUCCACAGAGUAAUCCCUAUUGUCCCACAGCCCCACAGGAACCAGCUUGGCAGGGCCAACAGAAGAGUGGUAGUGGAUCUCCAACAAGCCCAAGUCUUAUUCCAAGGGAUACAGGAAAGGGUUUCGGGCCAAGAAUAUAGAAAGCCCAUGGCUAAACUGACUUUAUUCACCUCAGACUUUAGUAGCACAGACCUCGACCUUGGCUGUAGACAAUGAUCAUGCACAGAAGAUGACCAUAUUUCCUAUGAAGGUGUUUCAUGGUCCAGUGGCAGUUUAUCAGCUUUUAAAGAAAACUGGAAGAUCAUAAUGCCUGAUCACAGGGUUGAUCCUCCAAGUUAUCAGCCUGCAAUUGGCCAAGAGGCACCCCUUGAUGACACACCCAGUAUGACAUCAGUAUAAGCUCUGGAAAACGGAGUUUUCAGCAGCAAUAACAACCAUAGACAAGUGUUGACAAGUUUUUGUGCUCAGACCACUCUCUGGUAUUCCUUGUGUUGAAUCCUUCAACAUACCUCAGGAUGAUUAUCAGUCUGAAGAUCCUCAAUUGUGAAUACCUGAGACAACCUCACAAGUUUUGGAUGGAGUCAAUAGGGAACCUCUGAUGAAUGAUCCCUAUAAGGGACUCUAAUAUCUCCAUAGACUUGCAGAAUGCAUAUCUACUUGUUCAGAUUCAUCCAGACUCUCAGAGAUACCUACGCUUUGCUGUCAAUGAAAGACUCUUCCAGUUCAGGGUUCUAAGGAUUGAAAUAUCAGUCCUUGGCUUUUCACGAUCAUCACAGCUCCUUGGCUUUUUCACGAUCAUCACAGCUCCAAUCCUAGCAUAUUUACAUCUUCAGCGAUAAGAAUUUCAUGGGUACUUGGACAAUUUCCAGUCAUCAAAUGUGGAUGUGGAUACCUGUUUAGAAGACUCAAUAUCUGUGAGCUUUCUCUGAGAAUAUGGAGUUCUUGGUUCAUCUAGGAAAAGUGUGAGAACUCCAGAAACAAUAUUGGAGCAAUAUUUAACACUGGUCGAGGAAGUGGAAGUGGAGAACCUUGUUUCAAACAUGCAUGGAAAAUUCUGGAUAAUGUACUACAGUACUUGGAUACCAACACUGCUGUAUUCUUUAAAAGCUUGUAAAGUUUGGACUAUCAUGUAAAUUUUGUCUCAUUUAUAAUGAUUUCUUAAAAAAUUGUUCUGGAAGCUGGUGCUUGAUACCAUUGUUAGGAAUUUGUAGCUGACACACCCUUAUCAGUUAAUUUGUAUUUAUUUAUCAAUACUUGCAGGCAGUUCAAUGUAUAUUUCUAAACAUUGCUUGCAAUCAAGUGUAGUCAGUCUAGUUACAAAAUGAGAUUUUCAAGGACUUUCAUGAUUUAGACUAGGCAAAACAAGCCAUAUGUUGAACUUUUGCUUCAUUUUUAUAUUCCAGCUGUUCUGUCACAUGUUGUAAUGUUAUUGUAUUCCUGCAUAUAGAAAUAAAAUUUUGCUUUGAA